UCCAUCCCUGCAACUGAAAAGUCCGAGGUAUGGGGACGUGCUGUCGGCGGCCUGAUUCCACCCCUUCACUCACCCCCCCUCUUUCCAGGUGAAGUUAAGGCUUACCUUCGAAGUGAGGGGCAGAUGGUUUUCCUGGCAUCAGGUGGGAAGUGGAGGGCACAGGUGCAGAGCGAACUAAAUGGUCACAGAUCGACGGUAGCAUGAAGCCUUGAGAGGCGAGAGUCCUAGGAGCAGGGAUGGAAAGGAAGAAUUCCAAAUGCCUUUCGGACUUAACAGCGGAGAGACCCCAGCUUGCAGAGCGACUAGGAGUCCUGGCAGUUGGAAGGCGCAGCGCACGAGUUCGUCAAAUGGCUAUAUUGAAAGACAGCCAAGCAUAAGAUGCUCUUUGCAGACUCCUAGACCCGCCACCCCACCCCUUCCAGAAACAGAUGACAUUCUUCUACCAGGGAGACAUGAGGAGCUAACUUAGGAAAUGGGUUUUAAUAAUGUGUAAAUAUCACGAUUUCAGAGCCUAAGGAGCUUCUGUGUAAAAUGAUGAGCUUCUGUUUGGAUUUAGUUAGGGAUUCAGGGGAAGGGCAUGAAAAGUGACUUAUGCUACUAAUAAACACUCUUUAAUUAAA
Molecule: small RNA, 620 nt
Filed under: Pongo abelii (Sumatran orangutan)
Lineage: Eukaryota; Metazoa; Chordata; Mammalia; Primates; Hominidae
Description: sense intronic
Source: RNAcentral